CCAGCAGCUGCGGUAAUUCCAGCUCCAAGAGCGUAUAUUAAUUUUGUUGCAGUUAAAAAGCUCGUAGUCAAAUUUCUUUUGUGUUGAUAGGGUUUUGGUGCUGGAUCAUAACUUUACGUUUAGAACCCACCUUCCUUCAAUGCAAAAAUUACUUGUAACUUUUUGUGUUUGGAUAAUUCAUUGCUCUACUUAACUGUAGGGUUGUGGAAAGUUUUGCACAUUUUUAAAAAAGUUACAUCAUUUACUGUGAAUAAAUCAAAGCGUUCAAAGCAGGCAUUAUGCUCUCUGAAUGUUUCAGCAUGGAAUAAUAAGAUAAGUCUUCUCUUUAUUUUGUUGGUUUGCGAAGAAAAGAAAUGAUUAACAGGAACAGUUGGGGGUAUUUGUAUUAGGAUGUCAGAGG
RNAcentral lists this ribosomal RNA (400 nucleotides) under uncultured eukaryote. RNAcentral's name for it is "SSU rRNA". It matches the Rfam family "Eukaryotic small subunit ribosomal RNA", at positions 567 to 911 of the family's 1831-position model. The record is from RNAcentral.